UGUAUAUAUUUAUAUAUAUAUAUAAAUAUAUAUACACACACACUCACACACAUACAUACAUAUGUAUGUGUGUGUGUGUGUAAAACAAGAAAUGGAAAAAUAUU
RNAcentral lists this microRNA precursor (104 nucleotides) under Tupaia belangeri (northern tree shrew). RNAcentral describes it as "miRNA (ENSTBEG00000019909.1)". Lineage: Eukaryota; Metazoa; Chordata; Mammalia; Scandentia; Tupaiidae. The record is from RNAcentral.